This 77-nucleotide transfer RNA is filed under the name Desulfoluna butyratoxydans. Its description in RNAcentral is "tRNA-Arg". It matches the Rfam family "tRNA". From Rfam's summary of the family: Transfer RNA (tRNA) molecules are approximately 80 nucleotides in length. Their secondary structure includes four short double-helical elements and three loops (D, anti-codon, and T loops). Further hydrogen bonds mediate the characteristic L-shaped molecular structure. tRNAs have two regions of fundamental functional importance: the anti-codon, which is responsible for specific mRNA codon recognition, and the 3' end, to which the tRNAs corresponding amino acid is attached (by aminoacyl-tRNA synthetases). tRNAs cope with the degeneracy of the genetic code in two manners: having more than one tRNA (with a specific anti-codon) for a particular amino acid; and 'wobble' base-pairing, i.e. permitting non-standard base-pairing at the 3rd anti-codon position. The record is from RNAcentral. Lineage: Bacteria; Pseudomonadati; Thermodesulfobacteriota; Desulfobacteria; Desulfobacterales; Desulfolunaceae. RNAcentral also lists the same sequence under 4 other names.
GCGCCUGUAGCUCAGCUGGAUAGAGCGCCGGACUUCGAAUCCGUAGGUCGCAGGUUCGAAUCCUGCCAGGCGCGCCA